AUUGAACGCUGGCGGCAGGCCUAACACAUGCAAGUCGAACGCCCCGCAAGGGGAGUGGCAGACGGGUGAGUAACACGUAGGUUACGUGCCCUUUGGUGGGAAUAACUUAGGGAAACCUGAGCUAAUACCGCAUAUGCCCUUCGGGGUGAAAGUCUUCGGACGCCAGAGGAUCGGCCUGCGGCCCAUUAUUUAAUCCUUGUUGGUGGGGUAACGGCCUACCAAGGGUACGAUGGGUAGCUGGUCUGAGAGGAUGAUCAGCCACACUGGGACUGAGACACGGCCCAGACUCCUACGGGAGGCAGCAGUGGGGAAUAUUGGACAAUGGGGGAAACCCUGAUCCAGCUACGCCGCGUGGGUGAUGAAGGCCUUCGGGUUGUAAAGCCCUGUCGAGGGGGACGAAGUUCUGACGGUACCCCUCAAGAAAGCACCGGCUAACUCCGUG
Molecule: ribosomal RNA, 442 nt
Filed under: uncultured bacterium
Lineage: Bacteria
Description: bacterial SSU rRNA
Rfam family: Bacterial small subunit ribosomal RNA
Source: RNAcentral